UACGAAGGGGGCUAGCGUUGUUCGGAAUCACUGGGCGUAAAGGGUGCGUAGGCGGGUCUUUAAGUCAGGGGUGAAAUCCUGGAGCUCAACUCCGGAAAUGCCAUUGAAACUGUAAGACUUGAGGAUGAGAGAGGUGAGUGGAAUUCCCAGUGUAGAGGUGAAAUUCGUAGAUAUUGGGAAGAACACCAGUGGCGAAGGCGGCUCACUGGCUCAUAUCUGACGCUCAGGCGCGACAGCGUGGGGAUCAAACAGG
RNAcentral lists this ribosomal RNA (253 nucleotides) under uncultured bacterium. RNAcentral describes it as "partial 16S ribosomal RNA". It matches the Rfam family "Bacterial small subunit ribosomal RNA", at positions 524 to 776 of the family's 1533-position model. The record is from RNAcentral.